GGCAGGGGCCACGGUGUGGGGCAGAGCCUGCUGCAGUGUUCUGUCCAAAAGGUGACUUUUUGUGACAGGGAGGCCGGGCGGGCACAGCGAAGAACUCCAGGAAUUCGAGAACCCUAUGUUUUGGAUAGCCGUGCACUCCCCCCAGGACCAGGCAUCAGCUCUGACUCCCCCCACCCCGGCCCCCGCCAAUGGGGCCCCCCCCCCCACCCCGGCCCCCGCCAAUGGGGACCCCUGUUUGGGGGCCAAGAAGGGCCAUUUGGGGAGGUGGGGUCUUCUCUGCGUCCUCUGCUCUCUGGGAAGGAUGGGGUGCACGCUGCGACUGUCUCAUGGACCCCUCCAAACGCCUGGGAAAUGGGCGCAGUGUGGCCACUAUUCCACAAGCCCCAAACCCAGGAGAGGCAGGGGAGAGAGCAGGCAGAGGUGGGAGAGGAGCGGGUGAGGAGCCAGGCUUGGGGAAGGUAAGUUAGAGACUGGAAAGGACGCUGGGGUGGGAGCUGGGGCGGCUGGUUUCCCUUGCGUGGAGCCCCGACUUUCCCACCAAGGCACUGGCUCUUACACAUCAACACUCGCCAGAGACGCGGGAAAUAUUUUCUCUCUGCUGACACUUUUGGCAAAAUACAAAUCCUCCAGCUUUUUUCCGUGCAAAAAACAUGUCCAUCAAAACCGUCCCCGCAGUGCCUGCAGGAGAGAGAGGCCGCUGGAUUUGGUCCGGGGACUGCGGAAAGGGCUCAGGGAGAGAAAUAUGCAGCGGGCCUCAUCAUCUCUCUCUGCAGCCAGAGGGCGACAUAAAAGCAGCGAGAAUAGAAGUCAAAUAGUCCCUCCGCCCCCGCCCCCCUCCCCCAUUUGCUGAGCGCUUGGUCAGGGCUGAAAGCUCCACUAUCUGUA
Molecule: long non-coding RNA, 885 nt
Filed under: Ovis aries (sheep)
Lineage: Eukaryota; Metazoa; Chordata; Mammalia; Artiodactyla; Bovidae
Description: lncRNA (ENSOARG00000025294.1)
Source: RNAcentral